AUCGUACGGGAGGCAGCAGUGGGGAAUCUUCCGCAAUGGACGAAAGUCUGACGGAGCAACGCCGCGUGAGUGAUGACGGCCUGGUUGUAAAGCUCUGUUGUAAGAGAAGAACGGGUGUGAGAGUGGAAAGUUCACACUGUGACGGUAUCUUACCAGAAAGGGACGGCUAACUACGUGCCAGCAGCCGCGGUAAUCGAU
Molecule: ribosomal RNA, 198 nt
Filed under: uncultured bacterium
Lineage: Bacteria
Description: partial 16S ribosomal RNA
Rfam family: Bacterial small subunit ribosomal RNA
Source: RNAcentral